UUUACUAGAUGUCUAACAAAGCAUCAUUGUCACUAGUGGUGCAGAAAAAGUCAUUAAAGCAUCAUAAACGCCUUCACUGGAAGUUGGGGAAACAAGUCAGCAUGGAGGGGCUCACAUGGAUUGCACAAUGAAUCAGCCAGGUACAGAUGGGAAAGCACAUAAUAGCAGAUCUCUGUCGGUCUCAGGCAGACUGGCUCUUGAAUUUUAUGGAUUGAUAUAUCAGCUGAAAUUCACCAAGUGAUGGACAAGAUUUGUUACCAUGUGAAGAACCACAUGAAUGGGACUGAGAUGAUGACUAGCUGAACUAAAUGUCACAGCACUAGAACCUAGAUUCUUCAUCACUGGGCAGUAUCAUAGCUCUGUAUGGAGUUACCCUCUUGAAUUCAGUGGGAUCAAGAUUUCAGCCAUGGAAACUGCAAAGUGGAAAAAGAUGUUGCUUGACACUUUACACUGCAUUGAAGCAUUUUGAUAUUAUUGUAAUCCGGACUGCUGUGUUCUUCAGUACAGCAGUUAUUGCAGUGUUAUGAAGUACACCUGCUACUGUGUUUAUUUAUGUGUUUUAUUUCCCUCUUGUAUGGUUUAUGUAUUGUAUCAAUUAUUUGAGGUAUAGCAUAUGUAUAUGAAGAAAGAGAAUGUAUAUAAAAAUUUGCACUAAAAUGUGUGGAUCACAUCACAUCACCAUAUAUUCAUGAUGAAUUUGGACUGUAAAACCAAAUAUAAGAGUGGAUAAAAAAGAUUUGAUCAUUUCAAUUUUGAAACUGUCACUGCCCACAAAUACUGUGCUGACUUAUCUCUUAGUAAUUUACAUAGCUGUCUAUGCACUUCUUUAAGAUAAACCUACAAGAUUUACAAACAGAACAGCUCAAAGCAGUUGCAAAAUAAGGUCAAAUUUGUGAUGAUUUUAAGGAAAGUAGAAAUGGAGUAAAAAUGAUAGUAAGUAUUGCUAAUUCUAAUAAUACUAAUGACCAUGAUUAUAAAAAUAAUUAAUUUGCAUUUCAGGGAGAAGAGAUUUUCCCAAAAGAACUCAUGUUGUAUUGAAUUAAAUAGUGUUUGAACGUAACAAGGCAAUAUCUGAACACAACAUGGCAAAACUUUUGAAAACUUUUAAAGUGGGACAAGAAAAAUUAAUUUAUUUAUGAGGAACAUUUGUUUAUAUCCUUACUUUCAGUUUCAGAUUGAUCUGGAUGAAAAGCUGUAGAUUUUGGAUUUCCUCCAUAACUGAAUAGACCAGGGCUAAGCUACUCAGAAGAUUCA
RNAcentral lists this long non-coding RNA (1254 nucleotides) under Coturnix japonica (Japanese quail). Its description in RNAcentral is "lncRNA (ENSCJPG00005000144.1)". The record is from RNAcentral. Lineage: Eukaryota; Metazoa; Chordata; Aves; Galliformes; Phasianidae.